AUGGACCCUUCCAUCCCUUAUUCCCUUGGCUAUGCAUCAGAGUCGGAUGACGAAGGUCCCGAUGAAGAAGUUGAUGAGGAGGGGCUCACGGUGAAGGAGGCCGAAGCUUACGAGAAGGUAUUCGGGCGGGAUCAUCGGACACCAUUGUUCAAGGAUGUUAGUCUCGCGGAUGAAGCCGUGGUAGAUGGUGGCCAAGGUAUAUCUGUUGGAGUUAGGACAAGUUCUCACUGUGAUUUGGAAGACGGCAAGAACGGGAUUUCUCCCGGGUCUAAGUUUGGAACCUUUUUGGAAUUGAAGAUGUGGCUCGAUAACUACUCAGUUACGCUUUAUUGUUCACACAAGGUGGUUCACUCGGACGUCAAUGUGCGUUACACGGUUGCAUGUGAAGAGAAAAAAUGUCCAUGA
This 405-nucleotide ribosomal RNA is filed under the name Triticum aestivum (bread wheat). Its description in RNAcentral is "partial small subunit ribosomal RNA". The record is from RNAcentral. Lineage: Eukaryota; Viridiplantae; Streptophyta; Magnoliopsida; Poales; Poaceae.